CGCGCAUCACCCCGAAGGAAGUUCCGUCACUCCACCCGGACCACCCGGACCACCCGCCCGCCGCCAGGGCAAACACGGUCCGACACCACCCGGACCACCCCCAGACCAACACCCGGA
RNAcentral lists this ribosomal RNA (117 nucleotides) under Streptomyces mutabilis. Lineage: Bacteria; Bacillati; Actinomycetota; Actinomycetes; Kitasatosporales; Streptomycetaceae. The record is from RNAcentral.